UGGCUGAGAGGGCGACAUUUGGUUCGCUCGUUUGGGGUUACACCCAUCUCGGCCU
This 55-nucleotide non-coding RNA is filed under the name unclassified sequences. Its description in RNAcentral is "DUF3800-VI RNA". It matches the Rfam family "DUF3800-VI RNA". Rfam says of the family: Actinobacteria, Planctomycetes, Proteobacteria, Spirochaetes. Nearby to DUF3800 The record is from RNAcentral.